GUUGCUGCCUAGAGAAAGUGCCUUUGGCAUUUGUCAGGGUCACAGGGCAGAGGCAGCUCCAGGGGGGAUCUCUGACCCUUCCCAAGCAGUGAAAGUUGGGAAGUGUCUCCCCCCGCAGCUGUGGCUUCCAGCAGAGACCGGAGACUAGAACCAGCAGCACUUACAGAGAUUUAUAGCCCAUGGAAAAGAGCUUCUCAGCUCACAUGUUUACUUCGGAGAACUCUGUGGAGGCAUCAAGGGCCAGGGUCAACAUACACCACUGCAGCUUUGUCUCUCAAGCGUUUCGGGCCAUGUUAUGUGUUUGGAAGACAACAAUGGGGCAUUUCAUCUUCUAUCACCCAUCUCUGCUCCAAGCAUCUCAGCCACCUACAAAAAGACUCACUUCAACUCCCAGAGACUGCGUGCUGAAUUUCAUGAUGAACUCAAAUGCUUUCUUCCCAGCCUUUCCCUUCAUUCUCACAGUGUGGCCCCGCCUGCGCAUAUUGUCAUUUAGCACGGAUCAAAGCCUUACACUGAGAGGAUGGAGUCUUUGGAGACAGUGAAAUCUCAAACAUCUGCCAGUGGGUAGAUAAGGAGGCGGGGGCAUCAGGGUGCACCCCGCAAAUCACAUCACAUGUAACUAUUGGGGUCAGGAAAGUUAAACCUCUCACUACAACAAAUCACUACCAUAAAAUAUCAGUGAACUUUCACAAGGAAAAUCAGGGCAAGGUGAUCUAUGUCAGCUACGCCUGUCUGUUUCCUCUAAUGAAAUUUUGACUGGUUCUUUUCAGUUGCUAAUGAACUUCAGAGACUCUCCAUUCUACUUUAUCUCUAGGUCUUAACAUUGAAAAUAGCGUAAUCAUUUUAAUAAAAUGUUAUCAUUGCAGAUCUAUUUUAAUAUUUUAUAGCAUGAUUCAUUAAUUCAUCAAAUAUUUAUUGUAGAGUUACUGCAUGCUCUGAGAAAUACAAAGAUGAACUUAAGAUCUAGUGUACUGGGAGAGUUUGCCAAACUGUAAUUCUGAUCUACUAUCAUUGGCUGUAGAGCUGAAUAUCACACAGGACUGAGUUUCAUAAUACGGGGUUAUAAGUGAUACUUACGGAGAGAGAUGGAGGGGUCAUUGGGAGAGCUCAGUUUACCACAGCAACCCUAGAGCUGACAUAUAGUGAUCAUGCAAUCAGCAUUCAUUACGUAAAUAAGCAGCCAGAAGAAAGACACAUGAGAAAGAUCUUGGAAGUAUGGUUUUAAUAAAUAGAUCAGGAAGCUGGGUAGAAGAAAUGGUGUAUACAGAGAUGCAGAAGGAAAAAGCUGAGCAGUGCGCUUGAGCUACUAGCUGCCACGCAAGCACAGAAGGGCUGACCCCAAACCACCUUUCCAGCACCCUGUCCCCUAGUUGUCUUGUGACCAUUUCUUUGCUCCAUAAACUUCCUUCUCCUCCAUACUUUAUUAUUCAAACAGUGCUUUCACUCAUAUCUGUGAGCCAAGCUUGAGAUCACGGGCAGUUUUUACUUUUCCCUUUCCCUCCCUUGACAUCUGGUCAGAACAAAGCCUGAAUAACAUACUCCUGAAGUUCUUCUUGGUAUCCAUCUCAUCCUCCUAAAACUUUCCUUCAAAAAACACUGAAAGUUCCCAUUGCCACCAGUCUUGUUUGAGAUCCAUCUUUUCUCAUUGGAUGUAUGAAAGGCCUUCUUAAUUUCUCUUCUUACAUCCCAAGUUUCCCCAUAGGCCAUGCUCAGUACAACUCCCAGUCCAGUUCUCUUGAAGCAGAGCCCUGGUACUAACAUGUUCCCGUUCAAGAAUUGUUAAUGCUUUCCAAUUAUAUGAGGAUUAAAGUCAAGGCUGUGAGCCCAGCAGAAGCUCAUGGACAUUAUGACAGAAUGUGAGCCAUUAUAGGAAUUUCUUCAGGUGAUUCACAUGGUUAAAAUUACAUUUUGAAAGUAUCCUGUGAAAUAAAAAAUGGAAGUUAAGGCAAGCGUGCAGGUCAGAAAAUGACUUUGGAGGCUUGAGAAAACCAGGCUAGAGGAGAUAAUAUUCUGUACCACAAAACAUUAGUGGAGGUAGAGAGAAGUAGAUAAGUAGGAGUGCUAUUCAAAAGUGGGAUUGACUGCUCUUAGUGAUGGGUUGAAUACGGGGGGAAAGGAAUUGGGAGUGGGGAUGCUGCCCAGUUUUCUGAGUAGAUGACAUUUUGUUUGCCAAGAUAAAAAAAAAAAGACAAAAGAAGAAUCAGCUCUUCUUGGAAGUAGGUAUGGACUGGGGAUGAGGAAGAAUGUUGAAGUCAGGUUUGGGCACGUUGAAUUUAGGACGUGUGGAUGGAGAUGUUCAGGGACCCCUGGCCUUGUAAGACAGGGAGCUCAGAAGAUAUGUUUGAGCUUGUAUGAAUCAACAUUUGUUGUGUGACAAGCCACCCAAGAAGUUAGUGUCUUAAAAACAGCAUGUUUUAUUAUUGCUCAUAACUUCAAGUCAUCUAGAUGUUUCUGUGGAUCUGGACCAGGCUGGCUAAUCUGGGCUAAGCUAGUUUAUGAACCUACCAGUUAACUGAUAGAUCACCAGAGGACCAGCUGUUUUCAGAGGGCCUUGUAGACAGAAAGGGUGAAGGAGGUGUCUUUGAUCAUCAGCUCAGCCCAGUUUGUUCACUGGGCUAGGAUAAGGGGUUCCAAGAUCAAAAGCAUAUAUGUGCAAAACAUCUUGAGGUACAAGCUUAAGACUGGCACAGCAUCACUUCUGCAUUUUGUUCUCCAUAGCAAGUCCCAAAGGCAGCCAGAUUCAAUGGUUGGAGAAAUCAACUCCACCUCUUGACAGGAGGAGCAAUAAAUAUUUCUGGACAGGCUUUGCAAUGUACCACAGAGCUGAAGAACAGAGAUGGAAGUUAUCAAAAGAUCAAUAACAGAAGUAGGUACAAUUUCCCAGGGAAAUGGGUAGGGUGAGAAGAGAAGAGAGCCCAGAGCAGAAUCUGGAACCCCACAAACACUAUGACACAGAUUGUAGAAGAUUCCAUGAAAUAAACAGAAGUAGCACCCAGGGUUAUAGGAGGUAACUAGAAGAUGGCUGAGUCAUAGCAAAGAAGAUGAUGUUCUAAGAAGGAAAGUGUUAUGGUUUGAAUGUGGUUUGUCCCCUCCAAAACUUAUGUUAAAAUUGAUUGCCAAAAAAAUUGCCAAGGUAACCACGUUGGGAGAUGGGGCCUUCAAGAGGUGAUUAGGCCAGCAAGAUGAAUUAAUGUCUUUCUCACAAAAUCAGGUUAGUUCUCCAGAGAGUAUGUUUUUAUAAAGCAAGGUCAUGCCUCAUGUUUUGUCCUUUUUGCAUGUACACUUCCUGUUUUGCCUCUUUGCUAUGUUGUGAUGGUAUACAAGACCCUCACCAGAAGUGGACCAGAUGCAGCUGUCUGAUCUUGCACUUCCCAGCCUCCAGAAUCAAGAGCCAAAUGAACCUCUUUCUUUAUAAAUUACCCAGUCUCAGGCAUCAUGUUAUAGCAACAGAAAAUGAACUAAGAUUGAAGGUAUGUAAUAAAUGCCAAGAGAAAAGUACUAAUCAGGCCAAGUACAGUUUCAGCAAGGUGCUUAAAAACAAAAAACAAAAAAAACCACCUAAUAUCUGAAUAACACUUAUGUAGCUGGAUAACAUUUAGAAAUUAAUUUCUGGGGUUUCCCCAUGUAUUUUCUCUUUUUCUUUCUUCUGUACUACUACUACUGGGGUCUUUCUGCCCUCCCCAGCUACUUAAAAAGGAAGAAAACUCUAUGCUUUAUUGCUUCAUGGGUGGUCUGUGGCAGGCUGGAGGGCUCACUGUGCUUGCAAGAUGUCUCCAUCUUGUUUUCAAUAGGCUAAGCUCAGAGGAGAAAAGAGCAUUGGCAGAGCAAUAGAAGAGAACCAGGACUUGGAAGAAGCAGGAGGCAGAGAGGUGCUUGAUCCUGAUUUUAAUAAAAAAGAGAGAGACAUUUCCUAAGACUAGAGAGGAGUGAGGCAUGUGGAUGACAGAACAAUGGUAUGCCUAUCUUCUGCCUUCCCGGGGGUGACGCCUCAUAGAAAGAAUUGGCAAAAAUGGGAUCAUAAGGACAGUGGUUGCCAACUUCUCCCAAGAUUCUAUAUUCAAAAAGGAAUCUGACCUUGAGAGCUGAGGGUGGGAGAGACAAUGGCUCCACCAGCAGGUACUUGGCUGAGCAGAUUGUAAUGACCAGGGGCCACCAUCAGCACAUUGGCUCAUCAUGUGGGCUCAGAACCUUUAAAAGACCCUGAGGGACUUUAUGUCCCAAAUAGAGUAUGUGAGAUGGAAUUACAAACUAAUGAGAGGCUAAUUUAUUCACAAAUAAAGAAAUGUGCUGUUUCCCAAACAUGUAGGUUUGUGGAAUGAGAGUCACCCUUGCCGUGUCCACUAUGUGCAAGGCAAUGUGUUAAUGUUUUCAGUUCAUUACCUUACUGAAUCUUCCCAGUAGUACUGUAAAUUCUGUUCUGUAAUUAUUCUGACUUCAUACAUAAGGAAACUGAAGAGCAGAAAAAUCUAGUCAGUUUUAUGGGCUCAAACUAAUAUAUGCGAAAGCAUGAAGUUGAACCCAGAUAAGCUAAUGUCAGAGCCCUGUCUCUCAACCACCAUGCCAUUCUGGUCCUGAUUAUUUAAAGCAUUUAUCCAAAUAAUGCAGGCAAAAUAAGAGGAAAUAAUAAUCAAAGUUCAUAUGUGUGCACACAGACACACACAUGAACACACACAAAACUUCAGUAAUUGUACUAUCCUCUUUUUUCUGGAAUUUGGUGGGAUGUUUCUGUACCUCCUAGGAAAUGGCCCAGUCCACCUAUUCUCUUGACUUGGCCUAGAAAGAGAUAACCAGGGAAAUAACAAUAAUAAUGACAACAAUAAUAAUGGCAGACUUGCAGGUAAAAGAAGGUGUAACAAUCCCAGCACUUUAGGAGGCCAAGGCAGGAGGAUCAUGAGGUCAGGAGAUCAAGACCAUCCUGGCUAACACAGUGAAAGCCCAUCUCUACUAAAACUACAAAAAUUAGCCAAGCGUUAUGGCACACGCCUUUAGUCCCAGCUACUCAGGAGGCUGAGGGAGGAGAAUCACUUGAACCCGGGAGUUGGAGGUUGCAGUGGGUUGAGAUUGUGACACUGCACUGCAUCCUGGACAACAGAGCGAGACUCCAUCUCAGAAAAAAAAAAAAAAGAAGUUCUGACAAGGAAAAUGAUGAGAAAUGAUCAUUCAUUUCCUCUGCUAAUACUUAGGAAUAGGUUAACAGCAGUCAGUUGGACUCUCUUUUAGUGAAUAAGAAAAUAAUGGAAAGGAAUAAAUUAAGGGAGGACAGGAUAAAAAAGAAUAAUGAAGGCCGGGCCUGGUGGCUCACGCCUGUAAUCCUAGCACUUUGGGAGG
RNAcentral lists this long non-coding RNA (5328 nucleotides) under Cercocebus atys (sooty mangabey). RNAcentral's name for it is "lncRNA (ENSCATG00000045911.1)". Lineage: Eukaryota; Metazoa; Chordata; Mammalia; Primates; Cercopithecidae. The record is from RNAcentral.